GACGGCCGGUCAAGUCGUGGGCCGGCGCGAGGUCGACGAUCGAGCGGAUCUCGAAGUCGUGGGUCACGGCGCGGUGAGAUCUGAUGCGGCGGUGGCGAACGGAGGCUCGAGACCUGCAGGUGCGUCGAUCGGGCGUGAGGCGGAGGGGCGGUCUUUGGGGCUCCGGCGUCGCUGGGUCGUCGGCGGAGGCUUCGGGUGCAGGUCUG
This 206-nucleotide long non-coding RNA is filed under the name Eucalyptus grandis. Its description in RNAcentral is "long non-coding RNA (EGRA_LNC001749)". Lineage: Eukaryota; Viridiplantae; Streptophyta; Magnoliopsida; Myrtales; Myrtaceae. The record is from RNAcentral.